GACGAACGCUGGCGGCGUGCUUAACACAUGCAAGUCGAACGGAAAGGCCCUGCUUGCAGGGUACUCGAGUGGCGAACGGGUGAGUAACACGUGGGUGAUCUGCCCUGCACUUCGGGAUAAGCCUGGGAAACUGGGUCUAAUACCGGAUAGGAGCCAUUUUUAGUGUGAUGGUUGGAAAGUUUUUUCGGUGUAGGAUGAGCUCGCGGCCUAUCAGCUUGUUGGUGGGGUAAUGGCCUACCAAGGCGGCGACGGGUAGCCGGCCUGAGAGGGUGGACGGCCACAUUGGGACUGAGAUACGGCCCAGACUCCAACGGGAGGCAGCAGUGGGGAAUAUUGCACAAUGGGCGCAAGCCUGAUGCAGCGACGCCGCGUGGGGGAUGACGGCCUUCGGGUUGUAAACUCCUUUCGCUAGGGACGAAGCUUUUUGUGACGGUACCUAGAUAAGAAGCACCGGCUAGCUACGUG
This 465-nucleotide ribosomal RNA is filed under the name uncultured bacterium. Its description in RNAcentral is "partial 16S ribosomal RNA". It matches the Rfam family "Bacterial small subunit ribosomal RNA", at positions 28 to 507 of the family's 1533-position model. The record is from RNAcentral.